This is a long non-coding RNA of Peromyscus eremicus (cactus mouse), 582 nucleotides long. RefSeq lists it as uncharacterized. Lineage: Eukaryota; Metazoa; Chordata; Mammalia; Rodentia; Cricetidae. The transcript is spliced from 3 exons. The record is from RefSeq and is a predicted model, not a curated record.
GCCAGAGCUAAAACUCAGUGUAUGUUAUAUCUGGCACUCAAAUUAUGGGUCUUUCGGGCUUGAUAAUCAAUGCUGGGUGUGGUGAUUUCAAUGAAAAUGGCCUGUGCAGAUUGCAUAUCAGAUGUAAGCUCUUAGCUACUGCUCCAACACCAAACUUCAUGCCUUCAUGCCGCCAUGUUCUCUGCCAUGAUAGCUGUGGACUCACCAUUGGAAUCUAAAGCCCCAAACACUCCAUCUUCUAUAAGGUUAAGAAAAGCUGCUGAGCCCCGGUUUGUGGCAGGAGAAUCUCUGCAUGGAUGCUAAGAGAGGACACUGUGUGAAGCUGUAAAAGUGAAGCCUGGAUUGUGUUGGAGACACAAAGAUGUUGAGAUGCCAGAGCCAUUGAUACCUUCCAAUGUAUCCAUGCUGCAUGCUGAGUGUGGAACCAGAUCAAGAUAGAGAGAAGUGUGUUUCAGUUAGCAAAACUGGAAGGGAAGAAUCAUCUAAGCCCUUUGACAACAGAAAUACAAACUAUAGGAUUUGGAGUUUACCAUGCUGGGUUUAAUUAUUACUUGGUCCCAUAUUUCCUCACUAUUCUCCAUU